Pelobates cultripes (western spadefoot toad) is the source of this 346-nucleotide non-coding RNA. NCBI's taxonomy places the organism in Eukaryota, Metazoa, Chordata, Amphibia, Anura, Pelobatidae. The record is from the annotation of a GenBank genome assembly.
AAAUCACCUACAGCUUGCGUUAAUCUAUUUUUUUCAUGAGAUGAUCUGUUUUCUUCUGCUUUCUCUAUAUUAUAAAUUUAGCUAAUGACCGCAAACACCAGUUCAGGCAAAACAAAGCCAGGAAAAACACUAAGUGAAUUAAAGAAAUCGAAAGCUUGUUUUAUUUCUUCUCUGUUUGCUUUUUCUAUGCUGCCUGCCAGGUGCAAACGACAGAGCCUAUAAUAAUGAUUGACAGGGAGCUGUGGAUGUCUACAUUUAAUUAUAUUGUUCAUACUUCCACCAAUACAUAGAACACAGGGAUAGGUCAAAGCCCUGGGACGUUUAAGCCAAUCCGGGUAACAUAAAC